GCCAGCAUGAUGUAGUGGCUAGAGCACUGGACUACCACUCUGGAAACUAGGGUUUGAAUCCCUGUUGGCU
This 70-nucleotide transfer RNA is filed under the name Phrynosoma platyrhinos (Desert horned lizard). Its description in RNAcentral is "tRNA-OTHER". The record is from RNAcentral. Lineage: Eukaryota; Metazoa; Chordata; Lepidosauria; Squamata; Phrynosomatidae.